Molecule: ribosomal RNA, 445 nt
Filed under: uncultured bacterium
Lineage: Bacteria
Description: partial 16S ribosomal RNA
Rfam family: Bacterial small subunit ribosomal RNA
Source: RNAcentral
GUGGGGAAUAUUGGGCAAUGGAGGCAACUCUGACCCAGCCAUGCCGCGUGCAGGAUGACGGCCCUCUGGGUUGUAAACUGCUUUUAUACGGGAAGAAAAAAUACUACGUGUAGUAUACUGACGGUACCGUAAGAAUAAGGAUCGGCUAACUCCGUGCCAGCAGCCGCGGUAAUACGGAGGAUCCAAGCGUUGUCCGGAUUUAUUGGGUUUAAAGGGUGCGUAGGCGGAUCUUUAAGUCAGUGGUGAAAGCCUGCAGCUUAACUGUAGAAUUGCCAUUGAAACUGAAGAUCUUGAAUGUGGUUAAAGUAGGCGGAAUGUAUCAUGUAGCGGUGAAAUGCUUAGAUAUGAUACAGAACACCGAUAGCGAAGGCAGCUUGCUGAACCAUUAUUGACGCUGAGGCACGAAAGCGUGGGGAGCGAACAGGAUUAGAUACCCCAGUAGUCC